RNAcentral lists this transfer RNA (63 nucleotides) under Pholas orientalis. RNAcentral's name for it is "tRNA-Ser". Lineage: Eukaryota; Metazoa; Mollusca; Bivalvia; Myida; Pholadidae. The record is from RNAcentral.
GGUUUUCGUGGGUAUUAGUUGACUUGAAAUCAAUUUAAGGGUGUUCGACUCACCUAAAAGCUU